This 336-nucleotide unclassified non-coding RNA is filed under the name uncultured fungus. Its description in RNAcentral is "partial contains 5.8S ribosomal RNA and internal transcribed spacer 2". The stretch from base 1 to 133 matches the Rfam family "5.8S ribosomal RNA", at positions 22 to 154 of the family's 154-position model. The record is from RNAcentral. Lineage: Eukaryota; Fungi.
UGGCUCACGCAUCGAUGAAGAACGCAGCGAGAUGCGAUAGGUAAUGUGAAUUGCAGAAUUCAGUGAAUCAUCGAAUCUUUGAACGCACCUUGCACCCCACGGUUUUCCGUGGGGUACGCCCGUUCGAGUGUCACGUUAACGUCGAGGCGAUUCUUGUAAUUGUCCCGGACUUGGACGUUGCCGGCGUGAGUCGGCUCGUCUCGAAAUGCAUUAGCUGGCGUGUUCGCAGGCACGGCGUUGAUAAUUUCUACGUCUUGACUUUGGACGCUCCGCUUCCAAUCGCCCCUCGGGCAACAUUUCUGGUUUGACCUCGAAUCGGGUGGGACUACCCGCUGA